RNAcentral lists this unclassified non-coding RNA (216 nucleotides) under Hevea brasiliensis (rubber tree). The record is from RNAcentral. Lineage: Eukaryota; Viridiplantae; Streptophyta; Magnoliopsida; Malpighiales; Euphorbiaceae.
GGGAUGCUAAGUUGAGUGGACUAUUUCACUUUCGAUGCCGCGAUUCUCCAAAAAUAAACUUUUGAAGAAUCCGAAAGCACCCAUUGACAUUUUAGAAUAGUCCGAGUAACAUAGAUGGGAUGUAGCCAAAAUUCAAUCUUUCAUUUUGACAAUUUCCCAAGUAGUAGGCAUUAGCAGGCAGCACCUAAAAUUCGACCUUUCAUUUCCCAUUUUUCC